CCUAUAAGGUGUCAGGAUCUCACCGUCUAUUUCUCCAUGGAGGAGUGGGAGUAUUUAGAAGGACACAAAGAUCUGUACAAGGACGUCAUGAUGGAGGAUCACUGGCCCCUCACAUCACAAGUUAAAUCCAUUAAGAUAACAACACCGGAGAGAUGUCCCAGUCCUCUUCUUCCACAGGAUGGUUCAGAAGAACAUCACAAUGUCCCACAGGGUGAUCAGCUUGUGAAUUCGGGUGAAGAU
Bufo gargarizans (Asiatic toad) is the source of this 240-nucleotide long non-coding RNA. RefSeq lists it as uncharacterized. The transcript is spliced from 3 exons. Lineage: Eukaryota; Metazoa; Chordata; Amphibia; Anura; Bufonidae. The record is from RefSeq and is a predicted model, not a curated record.